Molecule: ribosomal RNA, 405 nt
Filed under: uncultured bacterium
Lineage: Bacteria
Description: bacterial SSU rRNA
Rfam family: Bacterial small subunit ribosomal RNA
Source: RNAcentral
AUUGAACGCUGGCGGCAUGCCUUACACAUGCAAGUCGAACGGCAGCACGGGAGCAAUCCUGGUGGCGAGUGGCGAACGGGUGAGUAAUAUAUCGGAACGUGCCCAGUCGUGGGGAUAACGUAGCGAAAGCUACGCUAAUACCGCAUACGAUCUAUGGAUGAAAGCGGGGGAUCGCAAGACCUCGCGCGAUUGGAGCGGCCGAUAUCAGAUUAGGUAGUUGGUGAGGUAAAGGCUCACCAAGCCGACGAUCUGUAGCUGGUCUGAGAGGACGACCAGCCACACUGGGACUGAGACACGGCCCAGACUCCUACGGGAGGCAGCAGUGGGGAAUUUUGGACAAUGGGCGCAAGCCUGAUCCAGCAAUGCCGCGUGCAGGAUGAAGGCCUCGGUUGGUUAACGUAGUAC